This 717-nucleotide ribosomal RNA is filed under the name uncultured Thelephora. RNAcentral's name for it is "eukaryotic LSU rRNA". The stretch from base 186 to 340 matches the Rfam family "5.8S ribosomal RNA". The record is from RNAcentral. Lineage: Eukaryota; Fungi; Basidiomycota; Agaricomycetes; Thelephorales; Thelephoraceae.
CGGUGUUGCUGGCCCUCAUAGGGGGCAUGUGCACGCUCUGUUUACACAUCCACUCACACCUGUGCAACCCCUCUGUAGUUCUAUGGUCUGGGGGACCCUGUCUUCCUUCUGUGGUUCUACGUCUUUACACACACACUGUAAUAAAGUUCUAUGGAAUGUACAUCGCGUCUAACGCAAUACAAUACAACUUUCAGCAACGGAUCUCUUGGCUCUCGCAUCGAUGAAGAACGCAGCGAAAUGCGAUAAGUAAUGUGAAUUGCAGAAUUCAGUGAAUCAUCGAAUCUUUGAACGCACCUUGCGCCCCUUGGCUAUUCCGAGGGGCAUGCCUGUUUGAGUAUCAUGAACACCUCAACUCUCAUGGUUUGCCAUGAUGAGUUGGACUCUGGGGGUUUUGCUGGCCUGUGGUCGGCUCCUCUCAAAUUAAUCAGCCUCCCAGUGUUUGGUGGCAUCACGGGUGUGAUAAAUAUCUACGCUCGCUGUUGUCUGCCAGGUAACCUUUGGUCACAAAGGUUUGCUGGAGCUCACAGAUGUCUCUCCUCAGCGAGGACAGCUUUUUUAACGUUCGAUCUCAAAUCAGGUAGGACUACCCGCUGAACUUAAGCAUAUCAAUAAGCGGAGGAAAAGAAACUAACAAGGAUUCCCCUAGUAACUGCGAGUGAAGCGGGAAAAGCUCAAAUUUAAAAUCUGGCGUGCCUCUGGUCGUCCGAGUUGUAGUUU